GUGCAGCAGGCGCGAAUACUUUACAAUGUGCGAAAGCACGAUAAGGGAACUCUGAGUGCCUCCUAAGGAGGCUGUUCAGGUGUCUAAAAGCACCUGAAGGAAGGGCUGGGUAAGACCGGUGCCAGCCGCCGCGGUAACACCGGCAGCCCAAGUGGUAGCCACGUUUAUUGGGUCUAAAGCGUCCGUAGCCGGCUGGGUAAGUUCCUUGGGAAAUUUGGCUGCUUAACAGUCAAGCUUUCAGGGAAUGCUGCCCGGCUUGGGGACCGGGAGAGGUCAGAGGUACUCCAGGGGUAGGGUGAAAUCCAUUAAUCCUUGGGGGACCACCGGUAGCGAAGGCGUCUGACCAGACCGGGUCCGACGGUGAGGGACGAAGGCUAGGGGCGCGAACCGGAUUAGAUACCCCGGUAGU
This 409-nucleotide ribosomal RNA is filed under the name uncultured microorganism. RNAcentral describes it as "bacterial SSU rRNA". It matches the Rfam family "Archaeal small subunit ribosomal RNA", at positions 330 to 745 of the family's 1478-position model. The record is from RNAcentral.